GGGGGCCCGCACAAGCGGUGGAGCAUGUGGUUUAAUUUGAAGCAACGCGAAGAACCUUACCAGGUCUUGACAUCCUCUGACAACCCUAGAGAUAGGGCUUCCCCUUCGGGGGCAGAGUGACAGGUGGUGCAUGGUUGUCGUCAGCUCGUGUCGUGAGAUGUUGGGUUAAGUCCCGCAACGAGCGCAACCCUUGAUCUUAGUUGCCAGCAUUCAGUUGGGCACUCUAAGGUGACUGCCGGUGACAAACCGGAGGAAGGUGGGGAUGACGUCAAAUCAUCAUGCCCCUUAUGACCUGGGCUACACACGUGCUACAAUGGGCAGAACAAAGGGCAGCGAAGCCGCGAGGCUAAGCCAAUCCCACAAAUCUGUUCUCAGUUCGGAUCGCAGUCUGCAACUCGACUGCGUGAAGCUGGAAUCGCAUAGUAAUCGCGG
RNAcentral lists this ribosomal RNA (432 nucleotides) under Bacillus licheniformis. RNAcentral describes it as "bacterial SSU rRNA". It matches the Rfam family "Bacterial small subunit ribosomal RNA", at positions 915 to 1347 of the family's 1533-position model. The record is from RNAcentral. Lineage: Bacteria; Bacillati; Bacillota; Bacilli; Caryophanales; Bacillaceae.